RRNAGGUUGAUUCUGCCGGACCCCACUGCUAUCGGGGUGGGACUAAGGCAUGCGAGUUUGCGCCUUCAAGCCACGGUGAAGGCGCAGCGGACGGCUCAGUAACACGUAGCUAACCUGCCCUCGGGACGAGGAUAACCCCGGGAAACUGGGGCUAACACUCGAUAGGUUAGAAGGCCUGGAAUGGUUUCUAGCCUAARGGGCGUUGAACCAUGCUUCCAGCACUGCCCGAGGAUGGGGCUGCGGCCGAUCAGGUAGUUGGUGAGGUAACGGCUCACCAAGCCUAUAACCGGUACGGGCCGUAAGAGCGGGAGCCGGGAGAUGGGCACUGAGACAAGGGCCCAGGCCCUACGGGGCGCAGCAGCUACRAAAACUCCGCAAGGCGCGAAAGCGUGACGGGGCUACCCCGAGUGCUGUCCGCUGAGGAUAGCUUUUCUCCGGUGUAAUGAGCCGGAGGAAUAAGGGGAGGGCAAGCCUGGUGUCAGCCGCCGCGGUAAUACCAGCUCCUCGGGUGGUGGGGACGAUUAUUGGGCCUGAAGCGUCCGUAGCCAGCUCGGCAAGUCUUCUGUUAAAUCCAACGAUCUAAUCGUUGGACUGCGGAAGAUACUGUCGGGCUAGGGGCGGAAGAAGUCGACGGUACUCCUGGGGUAGGGGUGAAAUCCUAUAAUCCCGGGAGGACCACCAGUGGCGAGGGCGGUCGGCUAGAACGCGCCCGACGG
Molecule: ribosomal RNA, 716 nt
Filed under: uncultured Methanobacterium sp.
Lineage: Archaea; Methanobacteriati; Methanobacteriota; Methanobacteria; Methanobacteriales; Methanobacteriaceae
Description: bacterial SSU rRNA
Rfam family: Archaeal small subunit ribosomal RNA
Source: RNAcentral